Molecule: long non-coding RNA, 689 nt
Organism: Hemicordylus capensis (graceful crag lizard)
Lineage: Eukaryota; Metazoa; Chordata; Lepidosauria; Squamata; Cordylidae
Exons: 4
Source: RefSeq, a predicted model, not a curated record
GGGAGGAUCCAGCGAGGAGAAGACCACCAACCAGACUGAGCCUAAGCCUUGCUUUUUGCAAACUGAAACUGACCGCCUUCACAAUAAAGUGUGCAGCUGCAGCAUCAAGGUUUGCUCAAAAGCCUUUGAUGAGGAACUUUGUCAAAAGUUUUUUGGAAGUUCAAGUAUACUAUGUUGACCGGAUCACCUUUAUCCACAUGCCUGUUGACACUCUGAAAGAACUCCAAAAGGCAUUCAAAUCCAGAUACAAAGGGCAGGCUGCCAUAGGAAAGAACAGGCACAGGACAGCUGUGCAUUCUCCAUCAUGGUCUAGUGUGCUGUUCACCUCAGAGGGCUCGCUGAAGAGAAUAAUCUCUGUGUAAGCAGCUCUUUGCUGAUUUUUCAAGAGCCAAAGCAUCAAUCAAUGUGACUGAAAAUAGCGCGAGCUGUGAGUGCAGAGGGAAGGGAAGAAAUGAACUCACCUUAGAUGUCAAGGUUGCUUUGAGGAUCAUCAUUUUUGUUUCAAGAGUGCACCAUGACUCACUUCUGUGAUGAAAAUUAGAACAUUGGAAGGACCUAUAUCCUAUUUCUAUGCCUGCUUAUAAUAUGCAUGCCACCAUUGCUCAGAAGGAAGCCCACACAUUUAAAUGGGAGUUUCUUCCCUGUUAAGGCCAAACUAUAUGUAACAUCAAUAAAGUCUUUGCAAACUU